Molecule: small RNA, 606 nt
Filed under: Histoplasma capsulatum var. duboisii H88
Lineage: Eukaryota; Fungi; Ascomycota; Eurotiomycetes; Onygenales; Ajellomycetaceae
Description: Histoplasma capsulatum H88 hypothetical RNA
Source: RNAcentral
CCUCCGGCACCUGUGAACAUAGCUAGUGAGAAGGUAAAAAUUUUAUGGCAUGGCGUUCGCAGCUUACGUGGCAGACUUUCGUCAAAAUGAAUCUCAUCCUGAGGCUACAUACCUCGAAUAGACUGAGCGAGAAAGGCGGCAGAUAGAAGUGCCAUUCCAGCCGAUGGUUUUGGACGCAAGUAUUACAGCCACAAACCAGGAUAAAAGAUUACCAGGAAAUGGGCUCAAUGGGAUAUGGAAUGGGCUGUAUGAUGUCGAUCCAUUUGCAGGAACCAGAAAAAAUCUCAAAAAGCAGAUCAAGACGAGUGUUGAAGUAUCUACGUCAUAAGGACGUUAUUUCGCAUCCCUAACGGUGUUUCAUCAGUUACACUGUGUGCUAUCAUCGAAUGGAUGAGCUCGAUUCCUCAGCCUCCGUUACGGAUCAUGCCACUGCAUCGACAUGGCUCGGUUGGCUUUCAUGUGCCACGCUGAUACCGUAGUCAUCACUUGGAAUGGGGCAUUCUUUGAGGGAGAGCCAGAUUUUUGUGCAAAGCAUCAGUGCAGAAAUUCUGAUGCAAUUCUUGAAUGCUCGAAACAUGAGGUCAGUAAGGAGAAGGAAUUCGCCGG